Molecule: ribosomal RNA, 2475 nt
Filed under: Triticum aestivum (bread wheat)
Lineage: Eukaryota; Viridiplantae; Streptophyta; Magnoliopsida; Poales; Poaceae
Description: partial small subunit ribosomal RNA
Source: RNAcentral
AUGGCACUUGGCCGAACACUUGCUAGCGUGGUGUCUGGCACAGGCGGCAACGACAGGGGUCGGAGGAUACUUGCUUGCAUACGGGUUCGGGGUGACGGCGGCGUAGUCCAAGGUGGGCAGGCGUAUGGGGGCGUCCAACAAGGCCUGGUCAGCGGCCGGAGUGGGCAUUUGAGUGAGCCGGGGGUGUCAGAGUCCUAUGUGGCGGAGGUCCGGAAUCCUUUAAACCUCCCCCGGUUUGUGCCCGGUGUGCGGGAAUUCGUCUCACGAACGCGUCCGCAGACGCUUGCGGGAGUUUUGUGGCACCGCGUUGGAGAUGCCCUUACCUCUUUUCUUUUCGAGCAUUUUCUUGCUGAAAUGACUGCCGGUGAAAUAACACCAUCGCUCCGUGUAACUGGUGGGAAGGACGCAAACUAUGAGGAAGAAGUCGUUGCACGCAUAGAGGCGGUACACGAGAACAAGUACGUCCAUGCACGUAUGGAGGAAAGGCCACUUAAACCCCACAUGUUAGAGACAGCGGCGGGGGUAUAUGAUCAAGGAUUUGCGAGCAAGUGGGGUUAUCGUCAAUUAUCCCCAUGUGGAGCCAUGGGGUGGUGCGGGCUGAGGCAGAGAGAGCGAGAGAGAGAGAGAGGGGGGAAAGAAGCGCCCCUCUGCUGCAAACCCUCCCUCCUCCACCCUUCGCUGCGACGGCAUUGGAGCGCUGCCGCCGCCGCCGCCUGCGGCGAUGAACCCGAAGAAUCUACACACGCAGACGGGCCCCAUCUGCGCCCCCCAGCAGCGCUGCAUCGACGUAAGCUCGACCUCAACCUCUCCCUCCUCCCCCUCAACCCCCCGUCUGUGUUCUGCAAAUGGAGCCGUACACAGGCGACGGCAAGGAAAGGACCCUGCGGAGGCCGUGGCGCCGUGCCAGUUCUUGGUGCAGCGCCACGGGCCAAGCCGCAUCAGCGGGUGCGCCGCCCCGGCUGCUGGGGCCAGGCCGUCGCGCGCGGCCACGGCCGCGCUGCAGCCGGCCGGCGUAGGGGCGGGGGGUCGAGGGCGUCCCCGUCCAGGUCGACGCGCCUGCUGGGGAUUGGGGUUUUAGCAGCUAUUGCUUUCCUGCAGGAUAUCCCAGUCAUUCAUUAUGACGUAAAUGGAGGACUUACGUCCUACAUGAGACUGAUACGCGGCCGGGUUCGAACGAACAGUCUCAUGGCCCCGCUGAGAUAUUUCAAUGUUGCGGUGACACCACACCGUAACCCUAGUUGCAAGGAUGCGAAUGAUGAUGAGCAGGACGUAGAGUUGCAGGUGGAGAUAGAGGUGAAAGAGGAGAACAAGAAAAUGAAGAAGAAGAAGAAGAAGAAGAAGAAGAAGACAAAUAAGGAGGAGGAGGAGGAUGAUGAUGAUGAUGAUGAGGAGGAGGAGGAGGAGGAGGAGGAGGAGGAGGAGGAGGUGGAGGAGGUGGUGGUGGUGGUGGUGGUGGACAAGGUGAAGAAAAGUAGUGGGAAAUCUCAUUACGUAGAAGCUGACAGCAAGUAUGAGGAGGUGGAGGUGAAUAAGGAGAAGAAGGAGGUGGAGGUGGCCAAGGCGAAGAAAAGAAGAGGGAAAUCUCGGUACGUAGUAGAUGACUGCGAGUAUGAGGAAGUGGAGUUGAAAGAGGAGAAAAAGAAGGAGGAGGUGGUGGUGGAGGAGAAGGAUGAUGACUGGAAGAAAGAGAGGAAGAAGAAAAGGAGUGGCCGAAGUUACCACAUUAUUGAGAUGUUUAACUCCCUUGAUCCAUCAGUGAGGGUGCAGCUGCUUGUGUGUGACUAUGACGGAUAUAUCGUCGGCUUCCGGCGGCAGGAAAAGAGAGUAUGGGGUACAUGGUACCGACUUCGGGGAGAGUACAUGCCCACCUGGCUGAAUCCUGCUGAAAUUAGAGUGUCUGGCAACCACAGCACGGAGACCACCGUGGGAGGCAUUGAUUGCAUCAUGCAUAUGUUUUACGCGCUGGCUCGGUCUGAGAGUGACCUUGCUGAGAUCAAGGCAACCUUGCUCCGGGCUGUCGUGAUGUUUUGCGAAGCACUUCGUUUUCUCUGUAUCCUUCAGAUGGUCAUCGAUGCAAUUGUAAACAACCAAGAUGCCACCCCUCUGCCUAACCACUUCUGGGGGCGCAUCAACAAUUGGGGUCAACUCUCCAGGAUGGCGCUGCAAGUAUGCAAGAACGGCGCUGUUGACAGUCCUACUUUGUUGGGCAGGGUCAUGCACAGAUGCCAAUAUUUUUCAUUUGAGGAGAUCAUUGGAGAUAGGACAAAGGGUGACUUGACACUGCUGAUGCGGAACGAUGAAAUCCUGCUUGACAGAGCAACUUCUUCUCCAACCCUGCUGCUGUUCUUCUCCAAACUCUGCUGCUCUUCGUCUACGCCUCGUUUUGCUGCUACAAUCUGCACCACCCUUGCUGCUGCUCCCCUUCAUGACCAUCAGCGCGACGACAACUACCUCUUCUUCGCCAAUCUCUGCUGA